ACAGUGGACCUUACAAUCGAGCAGGGAAUAAUUCAAUUCUAUCGUCAAACGUUAACAUUGGGGCCACCAGAUAACAAACAAAAAAAACGUUUCAGAGCUGAAAACAUUGCAACGAGGAGCUGGGAAAUAUGAGAAAGGGGCUUCAGAAACUCCAGCCGGGAUCUGAAAGAAUAAAAUUGCUCAGGGUAUUUUUUUUAAGAAGCAGGCUUUUUUUUAAGGGUGCGUGCAGAGAACCGGGGGGCACAUUCAAACUUCAAAACGGUGCUGUCAGGAAAUGUUUGCUCGCACAAGUGAAAACCAAAGCGUGGAACAGACCUCGAAACAGAGCGAUGGAUGCGAAUGAAUUCUAGAGUUGAAUAAAUGUUUGUGACAUUUAGAGGAGGCGAGGGAACAACGCUAGGAGGAUGUCCGAGCUGAACCUUCAAAUGAGCUGCCUCCCACUAAUGGACCUGUGACCUUCUGCGUUUCGCCGUGGCUCAGAGCCGUCCUAACGCCAGGAGGGGAGAGCAGCUUAAAACAAAAUUGCAGGAUCUGAACUUGGAGAGGAGCCUCGGGAGAACACAAACUUCGCCUAAUUUGAAUCGGAUUGGUUUAGUUUCUCGAUGUUAAGCAUUUCCGUAUCUCUGCGCCGUGAUCGUUAGCGGCGCAAUCCGGAUUUGAUUUGAUUUUGUCAUGGGACACCUUUUUCCUCUCGCAUUUUCAAUCCAAUUUUAGUUUGAAAACCGCUUUUGGAAAUGUACAUUGUUUCACUUCCUUGUGCAUGAGCGAAGGAAAUCAAACCCUGAGAAUGCAGAGCUGAACUGAUAUCGCUGUGGCAUCAUAUAUCAUGGAACAAGGCUAAGAAAGUAAUUUUUUUGAAGCAAAUGUGUAAACAAUUAAUUCAAAUAAUAGAAAGUUGUUAUAUUUGACAGUGAUGUAUCUGCGCUACUUAUGCAUUACAACUUAUUGUAAAAAGUAAUUAGUCUUCUAUGUAUUCAAUUAAAAUACAAAAUAAAAAUUAAGACCGU
Molecule: long non-coding RNA, 1007 nt
Organism: Hemiscyllium ocellatum (epaulette shark)
Lineage: Eukaryota; Metazoa; Chordata; Chondrichthyes; Orectolobiformes; Hemiscylliidae
Exons: 3
Source: RefSeq, a predicted model, not a curated record